GGUUCCACGCUGAGGUGUUCUUGUGGCACACCGCAACUGCUUUAGCUCGCAUCCCGUUCUCUCCUUCAAGCGGAACCGCGUAGACGGUCGUCAUCAUCGCCUUGUGGCAGUAGAACACUGCAAAUGGGUACUUCUGUUUGUGACACACCACCGAUUUGUCGUCAGACAACUUCUUUACCCCAGCCGCCGCGAUUUUGUACUUCUGCAUCGGUGCGUUCUUCUUAGCCACCUGUAGUAACCAAAGUUACAUUGGUUUAUAGCCAAAAUAUUAGCCACAAUAUAUGGUGUGGACAUACAAAUCAACUCGAACUAAACCGAACCAUGUGUUUUCAUGUAUAGUUAGAUUGGUUUAUAUAUGUAAAGCCAAAUUUAAACCAAUUUGAGUAUAAACGAACCACAGGAACUUAUAUAAAUUCGUGUGGUUCGUUUUUAUAUAAAAAAAUAAAAUAAAGAACUUGUAUAAAUUAAGAAAUAAUUUCUAUGUUAAACUAUCUAGAUGUAAACAUGUUUAAUAUUUCAUAAAAAUAAUUAUUAGCUAAGUACAUAGUAGCUAUUUGUAUAUGUUUUUUACACAACCUGAACCAAAUCUAUCAUAACCAAACCAAUUAAUUAGCUACAUAUUUAUUCAUAAGAAAACAAAAGUAAAUUUGACCAAAACUACAUCAACCUUAGCAAAAUUUAAAUUUAUCAUAAGAAAACCGAAUUAAGUAUAAAUAUUUUAUAUUUAGUAUUAAUCUUAUAUGUUUUCACUUCAGUCAAAACCAAACCGGUAAAAAAAACAGUGGUUAGUGUAUUUACCUCAGUGGAAACAGCCCUGACGUGAUAUUUACCAAGUUUCGAAACACUAAAGUCGACCAUCGACUCCAAAGACGUCGCACAAUACUUCUCUUCUCCACCGACUUUUUUCGCUUCACACUCGUCAAUCGUCUUCUUCAUCAUCUCCGCUUCUUCCGAACCAGCUUCCACAGAGAAACGUUUCAACGUCUCCGAAAACUUCUCCGACCCAAACGGCACCGUUUCAGCCUCUCCACGUGGCAAGAACGCAGUUUUGCCUCCGUAACCAUCCUCCGCGUUAAACCGGACGUUCAUAGCUUUUCCAGGAACCAAGUCCUUCUCCAAGAAGAAUAGAGCCGCGUUAGGAUCAUCGUGGAGCUGAGUCUCCUUUGCUGCAUAGUUAUAUACGAAAGGGUUGGCUCCUGGUUUCACACCGACGUAAAUCGGUCUUCCCUUGUGGCGCGUGUGCACCGUCACACCGCCUUUACCGACUCCUACGUCGGUUCUCUUACCGGGUUUACCCGUGUGGACUGCGACGCCACCUCCGUGACCUUUUCCGCUGCCAACGCUCACGUGUGUCCCUCCUCCGGGCUUACCCUUGCCCGUGUCCACGCGUACACCUCCCUUUCCAACGUUCACGGCGGUUUUGCCGCCGGUUUUACCUUUAUGGGUGUUAACGUUUACGCCUCCUUUACCUACUUGGACGUUGGUACUUUUCUCGUCGGUAAAAUCUGCAGAAUAAAAAAUGGUUUGGUAAUGGUAAGGACACAUUUAUUUUAUUAACAACCAAAAGAGAAUACAUUUGUUUGCUUUAUAUUAACGUAUAGAUUCAAAAAUAUGUUGAAAAAUAAAGAAAUUGUGAUAAUACAAGUCAAACACAUCUUCAUUUGCAUUUAUGUAUAUAAUUCUUUCUUUUUUUUGUGUGUCUUAAAAUGACAAAAAAAAAAACAGUUAAAAACUAGUCAAAACCAAAAUAUAAAUUCAGAACAACAUGUCAAUAUCCUAGAGGAAUUAGGAAAUAAUAUGUAUAUCUAAUAUUAAGAACAAACAUAAAGUCGGCCGGUAUAGUAAAAGAUAUUAACCAAGAGUCAAAAGAUUAUGGAGAGAGUUGGGAAUGGGAGUGUUUGGUAAAGCAGUGCUCCAAUAACGCUCAGGUGUUAAAUCAGCCGCAAUCGCUACGAC
Molecule: long non-coding RNA, 1956 nt
Filed under: Arabidopsis lyrata
Lineage: Eukaryota; Viridiplantae; Streptophyta; Magnoliopsida; Brassicales; Brassicaceae
Description: long non-coding RNA (ALYR_LNC001311)
Source: RNAcentral